Molecule: ribosomal RNA, 263 nt
Filed under: uncultured bacterium
Lineage: Bacteria
Description: partial 16S ribosomal RNA
Rfam family: Bacterial small subunit ribosomal RNA
Source: RNAcentral
GACGAAGGGGGCUAACGUUGUUCGGAAUUACUGGGCGUAAAGGGCGCGUAGGCGGCACUGUUAGUCAGGCGUGAAAUUCCUGGGCUCAACCUGGGGGCUGCGUUUGAUACGUAUUGUCUGGAGUUCGGAAGAGGGUCGUGGAAUUCCCAGUGUAGAGGUGAAAUUCGUAGAUAUUGGGAAGAACACCGGUGGCGAAGGCGGCGACCUGGUCCGAUACUGACGCUGAGGCGCGAAAGCGUGGGGAGCAAACAGGAUUGAGAUAC